CCUACGGGAGGCAGCAGUGGGGAAUAUUGCACAAUGGGCGGAAGCCUGAUGCAGCGACGCCGCGUGAGGGAUGAAGGCCUUCGGGUUGUAAACCUCUUUCAGCAGGGACGAAGCGUGAGUGACGGUACCUGCAGAAGAAGCACCGGCUAACUACGUGCCAGCAGCCGCGGUAAUACGUAGGGUGCGAGCGUUGUCCGGAAUUACUGGGCGUAAAGAGUUCGUAGGCGGUUUGUCGCGUCGUUUGUGAAAACCCGGGGCUCAACUUCGGGCUUGCAGGCGAUACGGGCAGACUUGAGUGUUUCAGGGGAGACUGGAAUUCCUGGUGUAGCGGUGAAAUGCGCAGAUAUCAGGAGGAACACCGGUGGCGAAGGCGGGUCUCUGGGAAACAACUGACGCUGAGGAACGAAAGCGUGGGUAGCAAACAGGAUUAGAUACCCUGGUAGUCCACGCCGUAAACGGUGGGCGCUAGGCGUGGGUUCCUUCCACGGGAUCUGUGCCGUAGCUAACGCAUUAAGCGCCCCGCCUGGGGAUCGGCCGCAAGGCAAAACUCAAAGGAUUGACGG
RNAcentral lists this ribosomal RNA (563 nucleotides) under uncultured bacterium. RNAcentral's name for it is "bacterial SSU rRNA". It matches the Rfam family "Bacterial small subunit ribosomal RNA", at positions 338 to 916 of the family's 1533-position model. The record is from RNAcentral.